RNAcentral lists this transfer RNA (74 nucleotides) under Marmota monax (woodchuck). RNAcentral describes it as "tRNA.Ala". The stretch from base 8 to 70 matches the Rfam family "tRNA", at positions 5 to 66 of the family's 71-position model. From Rfam's summary of the family: Transfer RNA (tRNA) molecules are approximately 80 nucleotides in length. Their secondary structure includes four short double-helical elements and three loops (D, anti-codon, and T loops). The record is from RNAcentral. Lineage: Eukaryota; Metazoa; Chordata; Mammalia; Rodentia; Sciuridae.
GCUGGGGGUGUAGCCCAGUGGUAGAGCACUUGCCUAGCAUGUGGGAGGCCCUGGGUUCGACCCCCAGCACAGCA